Molecule: ribosomal RNA, 505 nt
Filed under: uncultured bacterium
Lineage: Bacteria
Description: partial 16S ribosomal RNA
Rfam family: Bacterial small subunit ribosomal RNA
Source: RNAcentral
GACGAACGCUGGCGGCGUGCCUAAUACAUGCAAGUAGAACGCACAGUUUAUACCGUAGCUUGCUCCACCAUAGACUGUGAGUUGCGAACGGGUGAGUAACGCGUAGGUAACCUGCCUGGUAGCGGGGGAUAACUAUUGGAAACGAUAGCUAAUACCGCAUAAUAUUGAUUAUUGCAUGAUAAUUAAUUGAAAGGUGCAAUUGCACCACUACCAGAUGGACCUGCGUUGUAUUAGCUAGUAGGUGAGGUAACGGCUCACCUAGGCGACGAGACAUAGCCGACCUGAGAGGGUGAUAGGCCAAACUGGGACUGAGACACGGCCCAUAAUCCUACGGGAGGCAGCAGUAGGGAAUCUUCGGCAAUGGACGAAAGUCUGAACGAGCAACGCCGCGUGAGUGAAGAAGGUUGUCGGAUCGUAAAGCUCUGUUGUAAGAGAAGAACGGGUGUGAGAGUGGAAAGUUCACACUGUGACGGUAUCUUACCAGAAAGGGACGGCUAACUACGUG